GCCUCCUUAGCUCAGCUGGUAGAGCAACUGACUUGUAAUCAGUAGGUCGCUGGUUCGAUCCCGGCAGGAGGCUC
This 74-nucleotide transfer RNA is filed under the name Hymenobacter fastidiosus. RNAcentral describes it as "tRNA-Thr". It matches the Rfam family "tRNA". From Rfam's summary of the family: Transfer RNA (tRNA) molecules are approximately 80 nucleotides in length. Their secondary structure includes four short double-helical elements and three loops (D, anti-codon, and T loops). RNAcentral also lists the same sequence under 9 other names. The record is from RNAcentral. Lineage: Bacteria; Pseudomonadati; Bacteroidota; Cytophagia; Cytophagales; Hymenobacteraceae.